Long non-coding RNA from Melanotaenia boesemani (Boeseman's rainbowfish), 832 nucleotides. RefSeq lists it as uncharacterized. Lineage: Eukaryota; Metazoa; Chordata; Actinopteri; Atheriniformes; Melanotaeniidae. The record is from RefSeq and is a predicted model, not a curated record. The transcript has 5 exons.
UCACCACAAAGGAUGUGAAAAAUGUGAGGAACCAUCUACCUAUAAUAAUUUCCUUUGGUAAGUUCUGAAAACUCUCUAGAGGGACACGUUAAACACUGUUUUUUCUCUGUCUGAAGAAACAUUACAGUGUUGAAUUUAACUCCUCUGCUUUUGUUUUUGUUUUAAGUGAUGUUAGAUUUUUGAAACUCUGGCUUUUUGCUACUAACCUUGAUUGUUUUCUAUCGUCUGCUUUCCUCCACUGAGAAAGAAAAACUUAGCUGCUCAUGAAUGACGAGUCUACAGGCCGAUAUCAAACCUCCCCUUUCUUAGGCCAAAAUAUACUUUCAAAGGCAGCUGCAUUGCUAGUAACCAUAGGUCUGGCCAUAUAUUGUUACAAGAGACGGAACAGAGACCAAAGCCAGGAGCAAACCAGCUCUGGGGAGGCUGUGCCUCUACAACAAGUCCAAACCUCUGGAGUCAGUGAGAAAGACACUCGCACUGGUAACGGACUGGACGACAGCACCUUGACUCAAUGUGACCGCAACCCUGAGCACGCUUAGGAUGUGGAUUGAACCAAAGAAGAUUUGAAGGAAUCCACUGGUUUUCUUAACAGGACAAUCAUCAUCGAUCAAUUGGCUUACUUGACCAGUUAGAAUAGACUGGACUGAUGUAAGUGAUUUAAUAAAUCAAAGAUGUUCAUUUUGUCUUCUUUUCUAAAUGGUAUGUUUUUUUUUCCUCUAUUAAAAACAAUAGUAGGAUGUUGUAACAUACCUGACAUGUUUCAGCUGGCAAAGUUUAAGGAUGCUUCUGUCUUUCUAGUAGUUUGUUUCAGAUAUUAUGACCAUAAAACCUA